This 324-nucleotide ribosomal RNA is filed under the name proteobacterium tr12. Its description in RNAcentral is "bacterial SSU rRNA". It matches the Rfam family "Bacterial small subunit ribosomal RNA", at positions 102 to 443 of the family's 1533-position model. Lineage: Bacteria; Pseudomonadati; Pseudomonadota. The record is from RNAcentral.
ACGGGUGAGUAACGCGUGGGAAUCUACCCUUGACUACGGAAUAACGCAGGGAAACUUGUGCUAAUACCGUAUGUGUCCUUCGGGAGAAAGAUUUAUCGGUCAAGGAUGAGCCCGCGUUGGAUUAGCUAGUUGGUGGGGUAAAGGCCUACCAAGGCGACGAUCCAUAGCUGGUCUGAGAGGAUGAUCAGCCACAUUGGGACUGAGACACGGCCCAAACUCCUACGGGAGGCAGCAGUGGGGAAUAUUGGACAAUGGGCGCAAGCCUGAUCCAGCCAUGCCGCGUGAGUGAUGAAGGCCCUAGGGUUGUAAAGCUCUUUCACCGGA